GGUCCCGUAGCUCAGCUGGAUAGAGCAUCGGUUUCCUAAACCGGGGGUCGCAGGUUCGAAUCCUGCCGGGGCCGCCA
This 77-nucleotide transfer RNA is filed under the name Hyphomicrobiales bacterium. Its description in RNAcentral is "Rhizobiales bacterium (glacier metagenome) tRNA-Arg". It matches the Rfam family "tRNA". Rfam says of the family: Transfer RNA (tRNA) molecules are approximately 80 nucleotides in length. Their secondary structure includes four short double-helical elements and three loops (D, anti-codon, and T loops). RNAcentral also lists the same sequence under 1 other name. Lineage: Bacteria; Pseudomonadati; Pseudomonadota; Alphaproteobacteria; Hyphomicrobiales. The record is from RNAcentral.